This 449-nucleotide ribosomal RNA is filed under the name uncultured bacterium. RNAcentral describes it as "bacterial SSU rRNA". It matches the Rfam family "Bacterial small subunit ribosomal RNA", at positions 330 to 793 of the family's 1533-position model. The record is from RNAcentral.
UCCAGACUCCUACGGGAGGCAGCAGUGGGGAAUAUUGCACAAUGGGGGAAACCCUGAUGCAGCAACGCCGCGUGAGUGAGGAAGUAUUUCGGUAUGUAAAGCUCUAUCAGCAGGGAAUAGAAAAGAAGGUACCUGAAAAAGAAGCCCCGGCUAACUACGUGCCAGCAGCCGCGGUCAUACGUAGGAUCCGAGCAUUAUCCGGAGUGACUGGGUGUAAAGAGUUGCGUAGGUGGCAUAAUAAGUAGCUAGUGAAAUCUGGUGGCUCAACCAUUCAGACUAUUAGCUAAACUGUUAAGCUCGAGACCGUUAGGGGUAACUGGAAUUUCUAGUGUAGGAGUGAAAUCCGUAGAUAUUAGAAGGAACACCAAUAGCGUAGGCAGGUUACUGGGACGGUUCUGACACUAAGGCACGAAAGCGUAGGGAGCAAACGGGAUUAGAUACCCUAGUAG